UUGGCCCUGAGUCAUGGCCAGCAGUUGCUAAAGCUGUUGGUUUCAAACUGAGGCCUAAAGAAUGUCUUUCUGUGAUCCAAUGGCCAUUGCAAAGAUUUGGAAAUGUAAUGGUCGAUUCAUUAGAAAGAAACAUCU
Small nucleolar RNA from Phodopus roborovskii (desert hamster), 135 nucleotides. The record is from RefSeq and is a predicted model, not a curated record. NCBI's taxonomy places the organism in Eukaryota, Metazoa, Chordata, Mammalia, Rodentia, Cricetidae.